UGCCAGCAGCCGCGGUAAUACGGAGGGUGCAAGCGUUAAUCGGAAUUACUGGGCGUAAAGCGCGCGUAGGUGGUUCAGUCAGUCAGAUGUGAAAGCCCUGGGCUCAACCUGGGAACUGCAUCUGAUACUGCUGAACUCGAGUACGGUAGAGGGUAGUGGAAUUUCCUGUGUAGCGGUGAAAUGCGUAGAUAUAGGAAGGAACACCAGUGGCGAAGGCGACUACCUGGACCGAUACUGACACUGAGGUACGAAAGCCAGGGGAGCGAACGGGAUUAGAUA
RNAcentral lists this ribosomal RNA (279 nucleotides) under uncultured bacterium. RNAcentral's name for it is "partial 16S ribosomal RNA". It matches the Rfam family "Bacterial small subunit ribosomal RNA", at positions 506 to 784 of the family's 1533-position model. The record is from RNAcentral.